RNAcentral lists this ribosomal RNA (428 nucleotides) under uncultured bacterium. RNAcentral's name for it is "bacterial SSU rRNA". It matches the Rfam family "Bacterial small subunit ribosomal RNA", at positions 355 to 774 of the family's 1533-position model. The record is from RNAcentral.
UGGGGAAUCUUCCGCAAUGGACGAAAGUCUGACGGAGCAACGCCGCGUGAGUGAAGAAGGCCUUCGGGUCGUAAAGCUCUGUUGUCAGGGAAGAAAGGUACUUUUGCGAAUAAUGGGAGUAAAUGACUGUACCUACAAAGGAAGCACCGGCUAACUCCGUGCCAGCAGCCGCGGUAAUACGGGGGGUGCAAGCGUUGUCCGGAAUCAUUGGGCGUAAAGCGUUCGUAGGCGGUAUAUCAAGUCUGGUGUUAAAGCCCGGGGCUCAACUCCGGUUCGGCACUGGAUACUGGUAAACUAGAAUGCGGUAGAGGUAAGGGGAAUUCCUGGUGUAGCGGUGAAAUGCGUAGAUAUCAGGAGGAACAUCGGUGGCGAAAGCGCCUUACUGGGCCGUAAUUGACGCUGAGGAACGAAAGCCGGGGGAGCAAAUG